CAGCCGCCGCGGUAAUACCAGCCCCGCGAGUGGUCGGGACGGUUAUUGGGCCUAAAGCGCCCGUAGCCGGCCCGGCAAGUCCCUCCUUAAAGCCUCGGGCCCAACCCGAGGACGGGGGGGCUACUGCCGGGCUAGGGGGCGGGAGAGGCCGGCGGUACUCCCGGGGUAGGGGCGAAAUCCGUUAAUCCCGGGAGGACCACCAGUGGCGAAGGCGGCCGGCUGGAACGCGCCCGACGGUGAGGGGCGAAAGCCGGGGGAGCGAACCGGAUUAGAUACCCGGGUAGUCCCGGCGGUAAACGAUGCGGGCUAGCUGUGGGGCGGGCUUAGAGCCCGCCCAGUGGCGCAGGGAAGCCGUUAAGUCCGCCGCCUGGGGAGUACGGCCGCAAGGCUGAAACUUAAAGGAAUUGGCGGG
This 412-nucleotide ribosomal RNA is filed under the name uncultured microorganism. Its description in RNAcentral is "bacterial SSU rRNA". It matches the Rfam family "Archaeal small subunit ribosomal RNA", at positions 459 to 872 of the family's 1478-position model. The record is from RNAcentral.